This is a long non-coding RNA of Phyllopteryx taeniolatus (common seadragon), 1451 nucleotides long. RefSeq lists it as uncharacterized. The record is from RefSeq and is a predicted model, not a curated record. The transcript has 2 exons. NCBI's taxonomy places the organism in Eukaryota, Metazoa, Chordata, Actinopteri, Syngnathiformes, Syngnathidae.
AGCUAAGUCGUUUGCGUACAAGUGCCGACGGACGAGUCAUUCCCACGCUGUUGUCGUAUAUUCAAUUGGAGAAUACUGGAGGCCGCGAACGCGUAAUGGCGAAUCUGGUUUGAUGGCGGGUUUGACCAAUCAGACAAGGUUAUUCGGCCUGUAUUCGGCGUCAACUGGGAGUUCUGUAGACCAAUCAGAACGCCGUUCCGGAACACCACAUGGCAUAAUUUGCGUGGCACCGCCCACAAGACUUCAAGGCCUCUCCCAUUAUGGACGACUUUAUGGCCCAAUGAAGAUCCGGUAUUCGAGUGACGUCAUCGAUAGCCGCCAGCUGUCACGGAGCGCCACUGAUCCGAGUACACAGAAGAGCAGGAGUCAAGCUGUGACAAAGAAUAAGAGAUUUCCUUCUCCACCAUCUAGAACGAGGAAAACCAUAUUGCUGCUGAGGGGAAAUCAGGUUCCAUCCGUUUGAGGCACAAACAUAGUCCAUCAGUUUUAAUCAAAAUUGGGAUAGUCAUCAAUUCAACUGUACCCGACUUACCUUAACGACUGCACCGAGCGAUCGAGAGCAGCGGAUGGGGUCUGCGAGGUUCCAGGCGGUCAGGACCAGCAGGUCCGCCAGGAUCAAAAGGGCCACCAUGGCCAUUAGCUGAAUAUCUCGGAUGAUCUGACGUAAAAAACACGGGCGUACAAAGGUGUACCAGAGAGUUGGCACCACAAGGAGGUGACGGACGAUGCAAAACGCCACAGACUGGCUAACAGAAAGCCACAAUGUCACGGCGUCGUAACCCCCUUUUGGAAAACAGAUAUUUGAACACAAGCCGUGGAGCAACAUAUGUAGACAGAUAAUAUAAGAACACUCACAGGCAAAUAUUCAAUGAUAACUCCACAAUGUGAAGUUGCGAUUGAACUCAACAUCAAGGUUCCAAUAAUGAGCUCAGCUGCACAAAAACACGUACCACUCUCUUGUCGGGCACUCGCUGGGUGAACACCCUGUACAGCCGCCACGUUUUCCCUAAAAUGGGUCCGAACACCAUGGUGCUGCCGAGACAAAGGGUCCACACCCGAGCCUGUGGGAAGCAACAUUUACCAAACGAAGAACGGUAUAUGAACCGGCGAUGCGUUUGGAAAAGCGGCGCAGCUUCACCUGGCAACGUGAUUCAGUUAUAGCGAGCUGACUGACAAAUAUAUUUCACAUUAUUGGUUUUUAUACCAACUGACAUUUCACUAUGACAGAGUGGGCAUGUUAAGCUUGAAAACAUCCAACUAUGCACAUAAUAUGAUAAAAAAAAAAAUUAUGAAACACAAGUGUAAAUAUGUUUACCGUUACUGUAAUGACAGGGUGGACGGCAAUUUCAGGGACAAUAUGAUCAUUAAAAUGGAAUAUGUGGAAUGUAUAGGAUCCAAAUGAGUCGUUUUAACCAAUAAUUUGUCGUGGACAAUAAAACCAUGUAAAGAUG